GACUCUGUAGCUCAGUUGGUUAGAGCACUGCACCGGAAUCGCAGGGCCGUAGGUUCGAUUCCUGCCAGAGGGC
Molecule: transfer RNA, 73 nt
Filed under: Paramuricea clavata
Lineage: Eukaryota; Metazoa; Cnidaria; Anthozoa; Malacalcyonacea; Plexauridae
Description: tRNA-Ser
Rfam family: tRNA
About the family: Transfer RNA (tRNA) molecules are approximately 80 nucleotides in length. Their secondary structure includes four short double-helical elements and three loops (D, anti-codon, and T loops).
Source: RNAcentral